Molecule: non-coding RNA, 1612 nt
Organism: Corylus avellana
Lineage: Eukaryota; Viridiplantae; Streptophyta; Magnoliopsida; Fagales; Betulaceae
Source: RefSeq, a predicted model, not a curated record
GAUACAGUGGGGAAAAUCAUCUAACCAAAUACAUCUCUCCAUACAAGACACAGCAUAUUUUGCUAGACAGUGCGCAGCUCCAUUUCCUUCCCGCGGGACAUGCUGUACCCGCCACUCCUGCAGCCCACUUAACAUUUCUGCAAUAUCCUGGCUUACAUGCCCAUAUUUGCCUCCCCUAUUAGCCUCAUAUUGGAUAGCUUGAACGACCACUCUUGCAUCUCCCUCCAGACAGACUUUCUCCAGCCCCAACUGUAGACAGAAUUCAGCUGCCGUCCAAGCUGCUAGAGUUUCGGCUCCUUCAGGUUCAGAACAAUACGGUCUCGAAUCGCACAGGGCUGCCACCACCUUCCCCAUAUGAUCUCUGGCCACCACACCAAAACCCAUCUUUGCCAUUGAAACAUCCAGAGAGGCAUCCCAGUUAAGCUUUACAAAACCUGCGGGAGGUCGUCUCCAUCUAGAUUCCGCCACUUCGACAAGAUAAGGGAACUUAAGAAAGAAAUCAGCUUCUUCUUAAUGGAGGUCGCUCUGCGCAUCGUCUCAUUCCCCUCCUUUUCUAAGAAUGGAAAGUCACAAGAACUUGGAAGAAAAACAUCCCUGAUCUCUUCUGCUCUACCUGAAACAGCCGCUUCUGUGGCAAUUGCUGCCACAAUUGUUGGUGCAGCAGCUACCCUUCUUGUAAGGAGAACUAAGGCUUCUGAGGUCACUGAGUUACGUUUGCAAGAGUGUGGAGAUUGUGGUGGUUCGGGUAUAUGCUCUGAAUGCAAUGGCGAAGGGUUUGUGCUUAAGAAAUUGUCUAAGGAAAGCGCUGAGAAGGCAAGAAUGGCAUCAAAGACUCUGGCCACACGAUAUACAGCAGGGUAUAUAUACUUUGCCUUCCCUCGCCCUUUGAUGCAUCUCUCUUUUCUCUCUAGUUUGAAAUCCAUUAAUGUUGGAAUAAAUCCACUGAUCGGAAAUGAAAUGAAUUGGGCUCUCUCAGGCUUCCAAAAAAAUGGAGCUAUUGUUCAAAGUGCUCCUCUGCCCGAUCCUGUAGUACUUGCGGUGGUCGUGGGAAGUUAAGCUACUAGUUUUGAUCUAAAAUCUUUGUCCUUAUAAAUCAGGCAUUAACUUAAAUGCAUCAUGGAAAUAUACAUUAGCUUACAUUCAAGAAGAUUGGAAGCGAAAGCGAGUUACUCCAUUUUUCUGUACUUAUUUUUUGAUGAUAAUCUGCCUCUGCUGUUUGAAGAGAUGCAUUGCAGUAUAAGGCACUGAUAUAUGACAGUAUAAGACGACCCUCGACUCUGUUUCUAACAUUACACUAUAUAGAGGCCAAAAGGGAAAAGUGAGAAUCCUCAACGACUUUGAGGCUACUCUACAGUGUGAGAUUUACUAGUUAUGUUUUGUGGACAAUCACUGCUAGAAAGACAUGAAAGGACAAGAAUUUUCCUUUGAUAAAUGAGAUUCCAAGAUUCCAUGGCAUUUGAAAGGACAAGUAAUUUCCUUCCCACGGCACUUGUCGAACUGCAUGAAGAAAUUGGAGCAAUUCGUGAUGACCAGCUUGUUUCUUCCCGUCAAGGGUGUUACAUUACUACUGUGUUACAUUACCACUUAUGUGAAAACGUUAAGCUUAUCUAGA